GUUUGAUUCUGGCUCAGGAUGAACGCUGGCGGCAUGCCUAAUACAUGCAAGUCGAACGGAGUGAAGCCUUCGGGUUUCAUUCAGUGGCGAACGGGUGAGUAAUACGCAGGGAACCUGGCCAUGGCAGGGGGAUACACUCUGGAAACGGAGCAUAAGACCCCAUAGGCAGUAAGGCGGCAUCGCCUUACUGUUAAAGAAAGCUGAAAGGCUUUGGCGAUGGAUGGACCUGCGGUGCAUUAGCUUGUUGGUGAGGCAACGGCUUACCAAGGCGAUGAUGCAUAGCCGGCCUGAGAGGGCGGACGGCCACACUGGGACUGAGACACGGCCCAGACUCCUGCGGGAGGCAGCAGUAGGGAAUUUUCGUCAAUGGGCGCAAGCCUGAACGAGCAAUGCCGCGUGAGUGAGGAAGGUCUUCGGACUGUAAAGCUCUGUUGCCGGGGAAAAAGGGGAAAUGCAGGAAAUGGCAUUUCAUGGAUGGUACCCGGCCAGAAAGCCACGGCUAACUACGUGCCAGCAGCCGCGGUAAUACGUAGGUGGCGAGCGUUAUCCGGAAUGAUUGGGCGUAAAGGGUGCGCAGGCGGUCUGUUAAGUCUGAAGGCAAAGGGAUGAGCUCAACUCAUUUAUGAUUCAGAAACUGGCAGACUUGAGGACAGGAGAGGGCGGUGGAACUCCAUGUGUAGCGGUAAAAUGCGCAGAGAUAUGGAAGAACGCCAGUGGCGAAGGCGGCCGCCUGGCCUGUGACUGACGCUGAGGCACGAAAGCGUGGGGAGCAAAUAGGAUUAGAUACCCUAGUAGUCCACGCCGUAAACGAUGAGGAGCAGGUGUUGGGAGUGAAAUCUCAGUGCCGAAGCCAACGCAGUGACUCCUCCGCCUGGGGGGUAUGCACGCAAGUGUGAAACUCAAAGGAAUUGACGGGGGCCCGCACAAGCGGUGGAGUAUGUGGUUUAAUUCGAAGCAACGCGAAGAACCUUACCAGGUUUUGACAUCGGAUGCGAAGGUGCAGAGAUGCGCUGGAGGUUAACAUCCAGACAGGUGGUGCAUGGUUGUCGUCAGCUCGUGUCGUGAGAUGUUCAGUUAAGUCUGGCAACGAGCGCAACCCCCGUGGUAUGUUACUAACGCUUAGGGCGAGGACUCAUAUCAGACUGCCGGUGACAAACCGGAGGAAGGCGGGGAUGACGUCAAAUCAUCAUGCCCCUUAUGACCUGGGCUACACACGUACUACAAUGGCGUCUACAGAGGGAAGCGACCCUGAGAAGGGAAGCGAAACCGGAAAAGGGCGUCCCAGUUCGGAUUGAAGUCUGCAACCCGACUUCAUGAAGAUGGAAUCGCUAGUAAUCGCGGAUCAGCAUGCCGCGGUGAAUACGUUCCCGGGCCUUGUACACACCGCCCGUCAAACCAUGGAAGCCGGCAACGCCCGAAGCCGGUGGCAUAACCUUUUAGGAGUGAGCCGUCGAAGGCGGGGCCGAUGACUGGGGUUAAGUCGUAACAAGGUAUCC
RNAcentral lists this ribosomal RNA (1496 nucleotides) under uncultured bacterium. RNAcentral's name for it is "16S ribosomal RNA". It matches the Rfam family "Bacterial small subunit ribosomal RNA". The record is from RNAcentral.